This 201-nucleotide long non-coding RNA is filed under the name Marmota monax (woodchuck). Lineage: Eukaryota; Metazoa; Chordata; Mammalia; Rodentia; Sciuridae. The record is from RNAcentral.
UCUAAAUGGAUUCCCACUACCUGUGGAGGAAAAAGCUACUCACCCAGUCAAGCUCUUUCUGAUUGGAUUCACCUCCUUGCUCCCUGUGCUGCUCAUCCUCUUGUCCACCUGUCAUCCCACUGCUCAUGGGUUGACCACUCCCCCUUCUGACUUUUACUACUACUGUGCAUUCUCCUUAGAUCAUUUCUUGGCUCUUGACCA